This 459-nucleotide ribosomal RNA is filed under the name uncultured bacterium. RNAcentral's name for it is "partial 16S ribosomal RNA". It matches the Rfam family "Bacterial small subunit ribosomal RNA", at positions 338 to 795 of the family's 1533-position model. The record is from RNAcentral.
CCUACGGGUGGCAGCAGUGAGGAAUAUUGGUCAAUGGCCGGAAGGCUGAACCAGCCAAGUCGCGUGAGGGAAUAAGGCCCUAUGGGUCGUAAACCUCUUUUGUCGGGGAGCAAAAGCCGCCACGCGUGGCGUUCCGAGAGUACCCGAAGAAAAAGCAUCGGCUAACUCCGUGCCAGCAGCCGCGGUAAUACGGAGGAUGCGAGCGUUCUCCGGAUUUAUUGGGUUUAAAGGGUGCACAGGCGGAAGAUCAAGUCAGCGGUAAAAUUGAGAGGCUCAACCUCUUCGAGCCGUUGAAACUGGUUUUCUUGAGUGAGUGAGAAGUAUGCGGAAUGCGUGGUGUAGCGGUGAAAUGCAUAGAUAUCACGCAGAACUCCGAUUGCGAAGGCAGCAUACCGGCGCUCAACUGACGCUCAUGCACGAAAGUGUGGGUAUCGAACAGGAUUAGAUACCCGUGUAGUC